This is a long non-coding RNA of Homo sapiens (human), 3352 nucleotides long. Ensembl annotates it as C21orf62 antisense RNA 1. Its record names the gene C21orf62-AS1. Lineage: Eukaryota; Metazoa; Chordata; Mammalia; Primates; Hominidae. The record is from Ensembl.
GCACUUACGCGGAGCGGUAAUGUGAGGAAGCCUCCCGCCAAACAGAUGAGGGAGGAGGAGGAGGGGAGAGGCCAGAGAGAGAAGCGGCUUUCGGGAAGGAAAGUGUGAUCUAGUAGGUGGAAUAGUCCUCUCCAAACUUUGACCUGAGGUGUGACUAUUGAAUGACCCUCUAUUUGGAUUUGGAUUACACAAAGUUUAACGUUUUUUGGAAAAAUCCUACCUAGGUAAUGUGUAGUUCUCAAUGCAUCAUGUCAGGCAGCUUAUGAUGCCAAUUUGUCCCAUGGCCUUAAAUUCCACAACCUCAUCAUCUACCACCUUUGGUGCUUUCAGAAUCAUGACUCUCAAUGUUGAAGAAUGGGCUACUGCAUGGAAGGUGCUGAUCCUUUUAGAGGCAGCCGUGGAAGAGGAAAAGAGAUCAGAAGAGAAAAGGAUAUUGGUUUGCGGAACAUGUGGGACAAGAAGUUCCCAGAAGAAUUUGUGAGCAACUUCCCGACAGUAAGGCCCUGGCUAGACCUCAGGAUGGUCCCUGCCUCCUGGACAUUAGGAAGCCCAAAGGCCAGAACAAAAACACAUGCCUAGUGGGGGAAGGCUCACUAAGAGGGCACCAAGUGGGGCAAAUACCCCUGGUAACCCAUUUAUGGAGGCUGCCACAGAAAUGCUAGUUGGAAAUUUUCCUCCUUCAGUCUAUCAUGAAUUUCUUUUUUCUCUUUUGAGAUGAAGUCGCCCGGGCUGCAGUUCAGUGGUGCAAUCUCAGCUCACUGCAAGCUCUGCCUCCCAGGUUCCAACGAUUGUCUUGUCUCAGCCUCCUGAGUAGCUGAGAUUAUAAGCACGCACCAUCAUACCCGACUAAUUUUUGUAUUUAUAGUAGAAAUGGGGUUUUGCCAUGUUGGCCAGGCUGGUCUUGAACUCCUGACCUUAGGGUGAUCCACCCAUCUUGGCCUCCAAAAGUGCUGGGAUUACAGGCAUGAGCCACUGCACUCGGCUGUACCGUGAUUAUUAGUUCAAGGUUCUCUUUCACUGGGGUAAAGACCUUAAGAGAGCAGUUUUUGGGCUUUAUAUUCUCAAUUUCCCGCACAGUGCCUAGCACAUAGCAAGGACUCAACAAAUUUCAUUGAAUGAAUGAAAAAACAUAGUUUACCAAAUGUCAGUGUACUCAAACUCUUUUAACUGCUAGCUAUAGAAAUCCAAUUAAGACUCACUUGGGUAAAAAAAAAUAAAAAAAUAAACAAAAUAAACUGCUCACUUAUUUGAAAAAUUAAGGAAGGAUUUCAGGCAUGGCUUGAUCCAGCUACUCAAAAAAGGUUGUCAGAAAUGUCUGUCCGUUCUUCAUUUAUUCUUUCUCAUUUGUGGGCUUUGUUCCCAGAUAAGAUCACUCCUUCUGGGGACAAGAUGGUCACUAGUAGAUCCAGGUUUACUUUCUAUCAGCUGAGCAACCUCUCAAGAAAAAAUAAAUAAAUAAAUAAACCUCUCUUUAAAUAGCACCAGGCUGCUGGGUGUGGUGGCUCAUACCUGUAACCCCAGCACUUUGGGAGGCUGAGGUAGGAGGAUUGUGGGAAGCCAGGAGUUCAAGACCAGCCCAGCCAACAUUGUGAGACAUAAUCUCUACAAAUAAAAUAAAUUAGUUGGACAUGAUGGUGUGCACCUAUAGUCCCAGCUACUCGGGAGGCUGAAGCAGAAGGAUCACUUGAGUCUGAGAAUUCGGUGUUGUUUAAGCCACCCUGUUGUGGUAUCUGCUAUGGCUGCACAGGCAGAAAUAGGGACACAAGUGCAGGUUCAGGGCAAGGUGUGUGAGCACACUCAGUCCCUGGCCUCGGAGUCUCUCUGGAUGGCUUCUUGCCUAGGGUGACUGACAGAGGGAGGGAUGAUAUGCAAAGGCACCUGUUCUCCUCAUGACCUAACCCCAAUUCUUACUCCACGGGUUCAUGACAGCCUAUUCUGCUGGAGACUGUGUCUUAAAACUUCCUCCCCUAGUUUCUCUCAAGUACCCCUCGUGAGCUGUGAUUUCACUGGGCUUUGAACUCUUAGGCCAUUUGAGGCUGCAGUGAGCUAUGAUUGUAUCACUGCACUCCAGCCUAGAUGACAGAACGAGACCCCAUCUCUAAUGAAUAAAUAAAUAUGGCUGGGCACAAUGGCUCAGGCCUGUAAUCCCAGCAUUUGGAAGACCAAGACAGGCAGAUCGCUUCAGCUCAGGAGUUCGAGAUCAUUCUGGCCAACAAGGCGAAACCCUGUCUCUACCAAAAAUACAAAAAUUAGCCAGGCAGGGUGGCAUGUGCCUUUAAUCCCAGCUACAGGGAGGCUGAGGCAGGAGAAUCACUUGAACCUGGGAGGCAGAGGUUUCAGUGAGCUGAAAUUGUGCCACUGCACUCCAGCCUGAGUGACAGAGUGAGACUUUGCAACCAAAAAAUAAAAUAAUAAUAAUAAUGAAAUAAAUAACCAAAUAAGUAAAUAAAUAAAUAUUAGGAGGCAAAAAUACAUUGGACUCCUGAGUCGUACACUCAGCUUGGGAGCCAAUGAAUGGGAUCAGCCCCACUGCAAAGAGUGGACUGAGAGGGUAGAAGGAUGGUUCUGCAAAGGGAAAUCAGGAGGCGCUAUCAGAAAAGGGCCAGGUAGGCAGUCAGAAAGGUGGGUGCCCACAAGACCCAUGGGAUGAGCAUGGGUGAGCAUUGCAACUCUACUCCUCUCAGUCUCAGCAAACACUAAAGCACCACUUUGAUAAAAUGCCCUCUAAGAGUGCAGAUAUAUGUCUGACUUUGUGGGAUAUAUUCAGAUUUUCAAAUUGGCUCCUUUACUGGAGGGCCCCUCGAUUUUACCACCCAAGAAUCUUCAAGGAUUUUUGCAGGGACACACUUUGGGUACUGCAUUUGUGAGCAAUAGCCCUGCUUACCUCUCCAAGUCCUGGCUUCACAGUGUGUUCCUUGGGGUGCCCGGGCCCUAGCUUUCUUCUGGCUUUAACCCCAGAGCCAUAACUCAGAUCUAUACUUGAGACUGCUUCUUGCCAGGGCAUCUUCUCAGCUUCUGACUCUUGAGCCUUUCACAAUUUUCUUCUCUUGAGUCUUUCCCCUAAUUGCAUUUCCACUUUAAAAAUAAAAAUCACAGCCAGGCAUGGUGGUUCACACCUGUAAUCCCAGCAGUUUGGUAGGCUGAGGGGGGCAGAUCAUUUGAGGUCAGGAGUUCAAGACCGGCCUGGCCAACAUGGGGAAACCCUGUCUCUACUAAAAAUACAAAAAUUAGCCAGGUGUGGUGGUGCACACCUAUAAUGCCAGCUACUCAGGAGGCUGAGGCACGAGAAUUCCUUGAACCCGGGAGGCAGAGGUUGCCGUGAGCCGAGAUCGCACCACUGCACUCCAGCCUG